Molecule: ribosomal RNA, 465 nt
Filed under: uncultured bacterium
Lineage: Bacteria
Description: partial 16S ribosomal RNA
Rfam family: Bacterial small subunit ribosomal RNA
Source: RNAcentral
CUACGGGGGGCUGCAGGGGGGAAUAUUGGACAAUGGGGGAAACCCUGAUCCAGCAAUGCCGCGUGUGUGAAGAAGGCCUGCGGGUUGUAAAGCACUUUCGGUUGGGAGGACUGCUUCUAGCACUAAUAUUGUUGGAAGUUGACGUUACCUUCAGAAGAAGCACCGGCUAACUCCGUGCCAGCAGCCGCGGUAAUACGGAGGGUGCAAGCGGUAAUCGGAAUUACUGGGCGUAAAGCGCGCGUAGGCGGCUAGAUCAGUCGGGUGUGAAAGCCCCGGGCUUAACCUGGGAACUGCAUCCGAUACUGUCUAGCUUGAGUACAGGAGUGGAGAGUGGAAUUCCACAUGUAGCGGUGAUAUGCGUAGAUAUGUGGAGGAACACCAAUGGCGAAGGCAGCUCUCUGGCCUGAUACUGACGCUGAGGUGCGAAAGCGUGGGGAGCAAACAGGAUUAGAUACCCGCGUAGUC